AAGUCGUAACAAGGUUUCCGUAGGUGAACCUGCGGAAGGAUCAUUACUGCUUGCUAACGAUCUCGCCUUGGGCAACCAGGUCGGGAUCGGGCACGCUACCCUUGCUUAUAUGUACCAUUGUUACUCCCUCGGCGGGGCGACCUGCCGCUGGGAUCAUGUUAACACCCUUGUAUCAUAGCAUUAAACCUUCUGAAACUAUUUUGAAAUAAUUACAACUUUUAACAAUGGAUCUCUUGGUUCUG
This 242-nucleotide unclassified non-coding RNA is filed under the name fungal sp. Its description in RNAcentral is "partial internal transcribed spacer region". The stretch from base 1 to 46 matches the Rfam family "Eukaryotic small subunit ribosomal RNA", at positions 1786 to 1831 of the family's 1831-position model. The record is from RNAcentral. Lineage: Eukaryota; Fungi.